UGGGUAGUCCGUACGAGCGCACCCUAUCCUUAGUUGCCAUCAGUUCGGCUGGGAACUCUAGGGAGACUGCCGGUGACAAACCGGAGGAAGGUGGGGACGACGUCAAGUCAUCAUGGCCCUUAUGGGCAGGGCUACACACGUGCUACAAUGGCCGGUACAAAGGGCAGCGAAGCCGCAAGGUGAAGCGAAUCUCACAAAACCGGUCGUAGUCCGGAUUGCAGUCUGCAACUCGACUGCAUGAAGCUGGAAUCGCUAGUAAUCGUGGAUCAGAAUGCCGCGGUGAAUACGUUCCCGGGCCUUGUACACACCGCCCGUCACACCAUGGGAGUGGGCUGUACCAGAAGUAGGUAGUCUAACCUUCGGGAGGACGCUUACCACGGUGUGGUUCAUGACUGGGGUGAAGUCGUAACAAGGUAGCCCUAGGGGAACCUGGGGCUGGAUCACCUCCUU
This 450-nucleotide ribosomal RNA is filed under the name uncultured Chromatiales bacterium. RNAcentral's name for it is "bacterial SSU rRNA". It matches the Rfam family "Bacterial small subunit ribosomal RNA", at positions 1077 to 1532 of the family's 1533-position model. The record is from RNAcentral. Lineage: Bacteria; Pseudomonadati; Pseudomonadota; Gammaproteobacteria; Chromatiales.